Non-coding RNA from Potamilus streckersoni, 74 nucleotides. Lineage: Eukaryota; Metazoa; Mollusca; Bivalvia; Unionida; Unionidae. The record is from the annotation of a GenBank genome assembly.
GUUCUGGUGGACUAGGGGUUAGAGCGUCCGCCUUGGAUGUGAAAGGUCGCAGGUUCGAACCCCGGCCUCGAGUU